This 263-nucleotide ribosomal RNA is filed under the name uncultured archaeon. Its description in RNAcentral is "partial 16S ribosomal RNA". It matches the Rfam family "Archaeal small subunit ribosomal RNA", at positions 719 to 982 of the family's 1478-position model. The record is from RNAcentral.
ACACGUCUACAUUAGAUACCCGCGUAGUCCCAGCCGUAAACUAUGCGCGUUAGGUGUAUCGGUGACCACGAGUUACCGAGGUGCCGAAGGGAAACCGUGAAACGUGCCGCCUGGGAAGUACGGUCGCAAGGCUGAAACUUAAGGAAUUGGCGGGGAGCACCACAACGGGUGGAGCCUGCGGUUUAAUUGGACUCAACGCCGGGAAGCUCACCGGAUAAGACAGCGGAAUGAUUGCCGGGCUGAAGACUCUGCAUGACUAGCUG